AGGCUCUUGUCAUUUAUAAGUGUGAUGACUGGGGUUUCACGCUCGUGUGUAAGAUGUGCCUCCCACAAGCCUGGUUACGAGCUGGCACAUUACCUGUCUGAUG
This 103-nucleotide small nucleolar RNA is filed under the name Nomascus leucogenys (northern white-cheeked gibbon). RNAcentral describes it as "Small nucleolar RNA U13". It matches the Rfam family "Small nucleolar RNA U13". Lineage: Eukaryota; Metazoa; Chordata; Mammalia; Primates; Hylobatidae. The record is from Rfam by way of RNAcentral.